CGACAAAUUUUUAAAGCGAACGUACCUUAUUUUGCAUGUGCAUUAUGAACGUGAUAUAGGUUUGCUGUAUAACCGGAGGUUCAACGUGAAAUUUCAGUGUUCUUCCCUUACCGGAACUGAUCUCCACCUCGACAAACUAGAUGUUGUGAAGUCGGCAAGAGAUACAUGUAGAAACCAGACGUACUGUUACAGUAUUCCACGCCACUAGGUGAAAUCCAUCACUUCGAAUUGCUUGAUUGCCGUACAACGCUUCGCAUGUGACGAGACCAAUCCACGGAAUAAAAUCCUCUUCAGAAGCAAAACUAACCUCCUAAACGAAAAUGGAAACUAGAAAACUUCAGUUCUCGUUUGUCUCAGCAGGUGUACGUGUGCUCGAACCUGGGGGAAGUUUCCUACGUAACCUCCGUUUCGAAUCCAUCUAAUUUUAAUAGCUGGUGUAUGAGCGUCAUCAGUUGUCUUAACCUCACAUUUCAACUUAAGCGAGGUAAUUUUGGAUGGGGAGACAUUGAUGAAUCCGUUUCGAUUCUGUCCUACAGGUCCCCAGUCAAUGUCGGCGCCUUCAGUCAUUGCCGAAACAGAUAAUAUUUGCCCUUUUGGUGUGAAAACUAUACAGGAUGGGGUAAAGCACAAGAUAUUUUGGUUAAAGAAACAAGCAUAGCAGAGUUGUUAAAAUAUUUAACCUCUUAAUUCAUGGGUGGAACGAUAAUUGGAAACACACAUACAGCCUAAGGUCUGCUGGCUGUCUUUCAGAGAAAGGCCUGAAGUUUUUAGCUGAUCAAUCCUAUCACCUCCAGUAUGGUAACAAUACAUUUGGUUCUUAAUAAGGUCAGGUGCCAUCAAGUCAGGCAAAAACUUUUCAAGAAUCAGGAUAUUUCUUUCUUCGUCUGUGCCACAAUUGGAAACAUAGAUUAAUCAUUUUGUUUAAAAAUAAAUGUAUUAACCUUUAUGUUUACAUGAGUCGGGGCUGCCUAACCAUUGCAGGCGCCCAUUGCUGAAACACAAGCUUGUCCAGAAGGAAUUUUCUUUGAUCCAUGAUUGACCAAAGGCUUCCUAAAGGAAGUUUGAUAACCAGAUUUAAUAUUUUAAUGAACAACGUCCAAUGAUAUUAUCGUGGGCAAUACUCUGCAAUUGUAUGCUACAGAGUCACAGACAUAGAUACACCGUUGAAAAGUCACCAGAAACUAUGGUAGUCUCUUGCAGUCUUAAGUUUAAGUUUAAGUUUAUUAGGCACCCGGCUGCUUCUGCAGCCCUCUUGCAGUCUUGCUGUUCGGAAUAAAGCAGACAAAAUAUAGUGCUGGCACAUGGACUACUUUAUAUUAAGGACUGGACACUUCGAUGAUUCCUAUGUCUCCCAUAGAACGGGUAGAAAGUCGACUUGACUCAUUCGCCAUCUACCUGCCAAACGGCCUAAGCUCCUGCUACUUGGCGUCGGCAAGCGGCAAGAUUUGAAAUCAGCUUUUCUUUGUUUUGUGUAUGAUCAGCUCAUUAGCAUAAUUUUCGACUUUUGGCUUAAAUAAAGAUAAAAACUACCUGUU
Molecule: long non-coding RNA, 1535 nt
Organism: Daphnia magna
Lineage: Eukaryota; Metazoa; Arthropoda; Branchiopoda; Diplostraca; Daphniidae
Exons: 3
Source: RefSeq, a predicted model, not a curated record